GUAGCGGCGAGCGAACGCGGAUUAGCCCAAACCAAUAAAGUUUUCUUUAUUGGGGUUGCGGACAUAUCAUAACGAAGAGGUAUCGUAAUUGAAGAGGUUUGGAAAGACCCACCACAGAAGGUAAUAGUCCUGUAUGUUAAACGAGAAGACUUUAGAUAUGAUCCAGAGUACCACGGGACACGUGAAACCCUGUGGGAAGCAGGAGGGACCACCCUCCAAGGCUAAAUACUACCUAGUGACCGAUAGCGUAUAGUACCGUGAGGGAAAGGUGAAAAGAACCCCGGGAGGGGAGUGAAAUAGAACCUGAAACCCUGCACUUACAAGCUGUGGAAGCACAUUUCUUGUGUGACCGCGUACUUUUUGUAGAACGGGCCAACGAGUUACGUUAAGUAGCAAGGUUAAGCACUUAAGGUGCGGAGCCGUAGCGAAAGCGAGUUUUAACUGAGCGUUCAGUUACUUGACGUAGACCCGAAACCGGGCGACCUACCCAUGAGCAGGAUGAAGCGAAAGUAAAAUUUCGUGGAGGUCCGAACCCACGAGCGUUGAAAAGCUCGGGGAUGACUUGUGGGGAGCGGUGAAAUUCCAAUCGAGCCCGGAGAUAGCUGGUUCUCCCCGAAAUAGCUUUAGGGCUAGCCUCAAGGUGAGAGAUACGGAGGUAGAGCACUGAAUGUCCUAGGGGGUAUUGCACCUACCGAAG
RNAcentral lists this ribosomal RNA (697 nucleotides) under Clostridioides difficile. Its description in RNAcentral is "bacterial LSU rRNA". It matches the Rfam family "Bacterial large subunit ribosomal RNA", at positions 243 to 944 of the family's 2925-position model. Lineage: Bacteria; Bacillati; Bacillota; Clostridia; Peptostreptococcales; Peptostreptococcaceae. The record is from RNAcentral.